GCACUUCGGUGCUAGUACAGCGGCGGACGGGUGAGUAAUGUGAAGGAAUCUACCUGGUAUUGGGGGACAACUUGUGGAAACGCCCCCUAAUACCGCAUACGCCCUAAGGGGGAAAGCGGGGGAUCUUCGGACCUCUCGCUAUUGGAUGAUCCUGCGUAAGAUUAGCUAGUUGGUGGGGUAAAAGCUCACCAAGGCGACGAUCUUUAGCUGGUCUGAGAGGAUGAUCAGCCACACUGGAACUGAGACACGGUCCAGACUCCUACGGGAGGCAGCAGUGGGGAAUAUUGCGCAAUGGGCUAAAGCCUGACGCAGCCAUGCCUCGUGUGUGAUGAAGGCCUUAGGGUUGUAUUGCACUUUCAAUUGGGAAGAUAGGUUGUACGUUAAUAGCUUGCAGCUGUGACUUUACCUUUAGAAGAAGCACCGGCUAAUUCCGUGUUAGCUUCCGCGUUAAUACGGAGGGUGCAAGCGUUUUUCGUAUUUACUGUGCGUAAAGCUCGCGUAUUCUGUUUUGUUAAGUUCGUGAUGUGAAAAGCCCUGGGCUCAUCCUGGGAACUGCAUUCGAUACUGGCCCAUUUUAGUGUGUAAGAGAGUGGAGGUAGAAUUUCCAUGUUGUAGCGGUGAAAAUUUUUAUAUAUGUGGAUGUAAUAUUGUUUGGCGAAUGUGCCUCCUUGG
RNAcentral lists this ribosomal RNA (672 nucleotides) under uncultured bacterium. RNAcentral describes it as "bacterial SSU rRNA". It matches the Rfam family "Bacterial small subunit ribosomal RNA", at positions 75 to 732 of the family's 1533-position model. The record is from RNAcentral.